GUACUGUAAGUGGUAGAGUAGCCUUGUUGCUACAUCCACCCACUGAGGUUAAGCCCUUGUUCUAAAGAUUUGUUC
RNAcentral lists this ribosomal RNA (75 nucleotides) under Armillaria borealis. RNAcentral's name for it is "partial 26S large subunit ribosomal RNA". The record is from RNAcentral. Lineage: Eukaryota; Fungi; Basidiomycota; Agaricomycetes; Agaricales; Physalacriaceae. RNAcentral also lists the same sequence under 9 other names.